AUGAGAAAGAUGUCGGUCAGACAACAACAGGGUGUCCAGGGAGGAAGGAGCAACGAGGAGGCAGGACCAAGGGCGAGGAAUGACGCCCCGACUCUCACAACUCACACUACUGUAGCCACCGGAGGAGGGGAACCCGAACCCCUCCUGGCCAGAAGCCGCCGGACCAAACUGACACCAGUUGCACAGAGAGCACCAGAAGAAAACCAAACACCGUCGGGCCUGCAAAGCUCCCACCACCGCCACUGGGGACACGCUGUCACCGCCGCCCGACAACCACCACACCGCAGUGCCUACAAUCCAAAAAGCAUCCAAGGCGACGACUUUAAGAAGCAAAUGGCGCCAAGAGCACCGUCGCCGCCCAACAAAGUUUGA
Molecule: ribosomal RNA, 372 nt
Filed under: Triticum aestivum (bread wheat)
Lineage: Eukaryota; Viridiplantae; Streptophyta; Magnoliopsida; Poales; Poaceae
Description: partial small subunit ribosomal RNA
Source: RNAcentral